Molecule: unclassified non-coding RNA, 997 nt
Filed under: Hevea brasiliensis (rubber tree)
Lineage: Eukaryota; Viridiplantae; Streptophyta; Magnoliopsida; Malpighiales; Euphorbiaceae
Source: RNAcentral
UGACAGCCAUUCUCCUGCCAAUUACAACUCAUACAACUAGUUACUUGACAACUAUUCUCCCUCCACUUACAACUCAUACAACUAACCCUUAUUCUGCCUUAGUCUUCUUCUCUGAUAUGUAACAAUACCUCCCCCAUUAGAACUUUCUUGUCCCCAAGAAAGUGUAGCUUCUGGAAACUGGUUCACAAUAAAAGAAUAGUCUUCCCAAGUUGCAUCUUCUACAGGAAGGUUCAACCACUUGAUUAACCCCUGAAAAACAUGGUGUUGAUCUCUAGUAAUGGUUCUAGUUUGAAGAACCUGUUCUGGAGCUACUAUCACAGCAUCUUCAUGCACUGUAGGUAAUUCAGAAAGGGGAACAAUAUUGCUGCCCAACUUUUUCUUUAACAUAGACACAUGAAUUACAGGAUGGAUUGAAGAAGUAGGAGGUAACUGAAGCUUAUAGGCCACUGUCCCAAUCUUAGCUAGGAUUUGGAAAGGCCCAUAAUACUUAGGAGAAAGCUUCAAAUUGUGUCUUAAUGCCACAGAAGUUUGCCUAUAAAGCUGUAACUUCAAAUAAACCCAAUCUCCCACCAUAAAUUCCCUUUCAGACCUAUGCUUAUUAGCUUGCUGCACCAUUCUAUUCUGAGCCAUCUGCAAAUUCUCCUUAAGCAAUUGAUCCAGCUGCUGCCUCUGUUGUAAAAAAUCCCCCAAUGUUCCCAUAGAGGGCAAGUCAGAAGGAAUGAUUGGAAGGAAGGAUGGUUUAUAGCCAUACAAAGCCUCAAAAGGUGACAUCUUAAUGGCACUAUGGGAGGAUGAAUUAUACCACCACUCUGCAAGUGAAAGCCAAUUGCACCAAGUUGAUGGCUUGAGAUGAACCAUGCAUCGCAGAUAAGCCUCUAGACACUGGUUAAGUCUCUCGGUCUGCCCAUCUGAUUGAAGAUGAUAGGCAUAGCUAUAAGACAAAGUACUGCCUAUGCAUUUGAACAAUUCCUUUCAAAAUAGGCUUGUAAAAACUUUG